AUGUCUUUUCAAAAUUCAUCAUUGACUCCAACUAUAGAUGAUCUUAACAUUGAAAUAGAGUUUGAUGGGAUUGGGGAAGAGAAGACAAUAGAUGAAACUAUAGAGAUUGAUGAGAUGAUUGAUUUGGAGUUUUCCGUACUAACGGAGAAUAUUACUCAAAAUACCACUACUACUGAUGGGUCAACCUCUUCAGGUGAUCAAGAUCAGAGUACUCAGAAAUGA
This is a non-coding RNA of Vicia faba (fava bean), 222 nucleotides long. The record is from the annotation of a GenBank genome assembly. NCBI's taxonomy places the organism in Eukaryota, Viridiplantae, Streptophyta, Magnoliopsida, Fabales, Fabaceae.